RNAcentral lists this ribosomal RNA (1298 nucleotides) under Candidatus Bathyarchaeota archaeon. RNAcentral's name for it is "bacterial LSU rRNA". It matches the Rfam family "Archaeal large subunit ribosomal RNA", at positions 23 to 1304 of the family's 2987-position model. Lineage: Archaea; Thermoproteati; Candidatus Bathyarchaeota. The record is from RNAcentral.
UGGAGGAUGGCUCGGCUUGAGCGCCGAAGAAGGGCGUGGCCAGCCGCGAAAGAGCCCCGGGUAAGCGUAUGCAGCUGUAGAACCGGGGAUUCCCGAAUGGGACCUCCUACCAUGGUUCUUCGGAACCAUGGUGCUCCCUUUUGGGAGCGGGAACCCCCCGAACGGAAGCAUCUUAGUAGGGGGAGGAAAAGAAACCAAAUGGGAUUCCCUGAGUAGCAGCGAGCGAAAAGGGAAGAGUCCAAACCGAAUCCCAUGAGGAAACUUAUGGGAGAUGUAGGGGUGUGGGCCCGGCUUCCUCCUCGCUGGUGAAGCUGAAGUGGCCUGGAAAGGCCCGCCAGAGAGGGUGAAAGCCCCGUAAGCGUAAACCAGAAGGAGUUGAGCCGGAGUCCCAGAGUACCGCACCCUGGCUUGGGUGCGGAAAGUUGGGAGUCACCAACUUCCAAGACUAAACACGUCUCAAGACCGAUAGCGCACUAGUACGGUGACGGAAAGUUGAAAAGUACCCCGGAAGGGGGGUGAAAAGUGCCUGAAACCAGACGGUUACAGACGUGUGCAGCCCGGAAGGAUAGAUCCCUUCCAAAGGAACCUGUGGCGACACAGCAGUACGAGGGAGGGGGACCAGGGUUGCACGUUCCGUCUAGAAACACGGGCCGGGGAGUUCGCGGCUGUGGCGAGCUUAAGGGCUUUAAAAGCCCGUAGGCGCAGGGAAACCAACAUGCGCGCAGCCAGCCUUCGGACUGGUGAGGCGCGGAGUCUGAAAGGGCUCGGAGUCACAGCUGUGAAACUAGAAACCGGGCGAUCUAGCCCUGGGCAGGGCGAAGCCAGGCGAAAGCCUGGUGGAGGCCCGAAAGGGUGCUGACGUGCAAUUCGUUCCCCAGACCUGGGGCUAGGGGCUAAAGACCAAUCUAGCCCGGUGAUAGCUAGUUCCCUCCGAAGUGGGUCGCAGCCCAGUCCCGGGCGAGGCGGCCGGUGGGGUAGAGCACCGAUUGGGAAGUAAGGGAUCGAAAGAUCCCGCUUUCCUUUCGAACUCCGAAUUCAUCGGCGUCGUAGACCCCGGGAAACGGGUUACGGGGGGUAAGCUCCCGGACCGAGAGGGGGACAACCCAGACUGAGGUUAAGGCCCCAAAGUGCUGGCUAAAUGUCAAACCGAAAGGCGUCAUAAGCCUCAGACAGCGGGGAGGUAGGCUUAGAAGCAGCCAUCCUUUAAAGAAAGCGUAACAGCUCACCCGCCGAGGCUUAUGGCCCUGAAAAUUGACGGGACUAAGCCAGCCGCCGAUACCUCAGGGCGCAGCUUAAGC